Molecule: ribosomal RNA, 958 nt
Filed under: Halomonas sp. HZDC16
Lineage: Bacteria; Pseudomonadati; Pseudomonadota; Gammaproteobacteria; Oceanospirillales; Halomonadaceae
Description: bacterial SSU rRNA
Rfam family: Bacterial small subunit ribosomal RNA
Source: RNAcentral
CCCUGAUCCAGCCAUGCCGCGUGUGUGAAGAAGGCCCUCGGGUUGUAAAGCACUUUCAGCGAGGAAGAACGCCUAGGGGUUAAUACCCGCUAGGAAAGACAUCACUCGCAGAAGAAGCACCGGCUAACUCCGUGCCAGCAGCCGCGGUAAUACGGAGGGUGCAAGCGUUAAUCGGAAUUACUGGGCGUAAAGCGCGCGUAGGUGGCUUGAUAAGCCGGUUGUGAAAGCCCCGGGCUCAACCUGGGAACGGCAUCCGGAACUGUCAAGCUAGAGUGCAGGAGAGGAAGGUAGAAUUCCCGGUGUAGCGGUGAAAUGCGUAGAGAUCGGGAGGAAUACCAGUGGCGAAGGCGGCCUUCUGGACUGACACUGACACUGAGGUGCGAAAGCGUGGGUAGCAAACAGGAUUAGAUACCCUGGUAGUCCACGCCGUAAACGAUGUCGACCAGCCGUUGGGUGCCUAGCGCACUUUGUGGCGAAGUUAACGCGAUAAGUCGACCGCCUGGGGAGUACGGCCGCAAGGUUAAAACUCAAAUGAAUUGACGGGGGCCCGCACAAGCGGUGGAGCAUGUGGUUUAAUUCGAUGCAACGCGAAGAACCUUACCUACUCUUGACAUCCUGCGAAUUUGGUAGAGAUACCUUAGUGCCUUCGGGAACGCAGAGACAGGUGCUGCAUGGCUGUCGUCAGCUCGUGUUGUGAAAUGUUGGGUUAAGUCCCGUAACGAGCGCAACCCUUGUCCUUAUUUGCCAGCGCGUAAUGGCGGGAACUCUAAGGAGACUGCCGGUGACAAACCGGAGGAAGGUGGGGACGACGUCAAGUCAUCAUGGCCCUUACGAGUAGGGCUACACACGUGCUACAAUGGUCGGUACAAAGGGUUGCCAACUCGCGAGAGUGAGCCAAUCCCGAAAAGCCGAUCUCAGUCCGGAUCGGAGUCUGCAACUCGACUCCGUGAAGUCGGAA